Trachemys scripta elegans is the source of this 431-nucleotide long non-coding RNA. RefSeq lists it as uncharacterized. Lineage: Eukaryota; Metazoa; Chordata; Testudines; Emydidae. The transcript is spliced from 3 exons. The record is from RefSeq and is a predicted model, not a curated record.
UAUCAAACCAGUCUUCUGCCCUCUACACUGGCUUUCCUUAGAAUUUUGAACCAGGCUCAAUGUCUCAGUCCUUAUCUUCAAAGUGCACCAUGGCCUGGGCACCGAAGAGCUAAAAGACCACGUAAAGCUCCAGGGUAAAGACUGUGGUUGACAACUAUGCUCUUAUGGCACAGUGGAACUCUCAACAAUAAGAGUCAGGACAUCUUUCAGGAUGGUGGACAAUGAAGGCUAAUCAGUGUGAUGGUAGAUUCCUGGUUCCUAGCAGGUAUGAAGUGCUAUCAUGGUCUCACUGGAAAACUCAUCUGAAAACCUCUCGUCUUCCUUGCCCGUGCCCCUUCAGCUGGUAUCUUACUAUAAAAAUCACAAUUCAUUCCAAGAGACAGUUUGUACAUGACCUAGGCCACAACAAAUUGGUUGCUUUUUCUCAAUUC